Molecule: ribosomal RNA, 320 nt
Filed under: uncultured eukaryote
Lineage: Eukaryota
Description: partial 18S ribosomal RNA
Rfam family: Eukaryotic small subunit ribosomal RNA
Source: RNAcentral
CCCCUAGAUGUUCUGGGCCGCACGCGCGCUACACUGAACAGUUCAACAAGUCUUAACCUUGGCCGAUAGGUCUGGGUAAUCUUUGAACGCUGUUCGUGAUUGGGAUAGACCUUUGCAAUUAUGGGUCUUCAACGAGGAAUUCCUAGUAAACGCAAGUCAUCAGCUUGCAUUGAUUACGUCCCUGCCCUUUGUACACACCGCCCGUCGCACCUACCGAUUGAAUGGUCCGGUGAAAUCUCGGGACGGCGGCUUGGUCGCUUGCGUCCGACUGCUGAAACUUGAUUAAACCUUAUCAUUUAGAGGAAGGAGAANUCGUANCA